RNAcentral lists this transfer RNA (95 nucleotides) under Geitlerinema splendidum. RNAcentral's name for it is "tRNA-Asp". It matches the Rfam family "tRNA". Rfam says of the family: Transfer RNA (tRNA) molecules are approximately 80 nucleotides in length. Their secondary structure includes four short double-helical elements and three loops (D, anti-codon, and T loops). Lineage: Bacteria; Bacillati; Cyanobacteriota; Cyanophyceae; Geitlerinematales; Geitlerinemataceae. RNAcentral also lists the same sequence under 4 other names. The record is from RNAcentral.
GGGGGUGUAGCUUAGUGGCUCAAAGCGAUCGCCUGUCGAGCGAAAGAUCGUGGGUACUGCUACGCAGAAGCAAGCUACAAAUCCCAUCUCCCCCG